Molecule: transfer RNA, 75 nt
Filed under: Chloroflexota bacterium
Lineage: Bacteria; Bacillati; Chloroflexota
Description: Chloroflexi bacterium (groundwater metagenome) tRNA-Met
Rfam family: tRNA
About the family: Transfer RNA (tRNA) molecules are approximately 80 nucleotides in length. Their secondary structure includes four short double-helical elements and three loops (D, anti-codon, and T loops).
Source: RNAcentral
GCCAACGUAGCUCAGUGGAAGAGCGGGCGCUUCAUAAGCGCUAGGUCACAGGUUCGAACCCUGUCGUUGGCACCA